Molecule: long non-coding RNA, 365 nt
Organism: Cyprinus carpio carpio
Lineage: Eukaryota; Metazoa; Chordata; Actinopteri; Cypriniformes; Cyprinidae
Source: Ensembl
CAAAAACCGUCAAUAUUGUGUCUAAAACAGCAAGACAAACACAACUGGAAAGGGAGGGCUUCGCAUCGCGGCUGUCUGUCUGUCUGUGUCUGUGAUGUGCCGAUCAAUGUGUGCUACACUGCUGUGCUGCUCAGACGCGGAGGGAGAAAGCCAUAAGAACAACAAAAAAAAAACCUCCCCAGGAAAAAAAGGGCACUUUCCCUCGAGGAAGAAAAAGGGGAGUCCUGAAGCCUCACAAAAUGCUGGCUGUCCAUGCCUAUGCUCCAAAAGACCGUGGGGGCGUCCAACUACAUCGCCCUGGGCUUGUUCAGAUCGAAGAAGGAGAGGAUCUACUUCACUUCUCCUUAAUGCUCCAGCUUGUGUUU